ACUUUUAAAGGAUAGAAGUAAUCCAUUGGUCUUAGGCUCCAAACCCCUUGGUGCAAAUCCAUGUAAAAGUU
Molecule: transfer RNA, 71 nt
Filed under: Chikila fulleri (Kuttal caecilian)
Lineage: Eukaryota; Metazoa; Chordata; Amphibia; Gymnophiona; Chikilidae
Description: tRNA-Leu
Rfam family: tRNA
About the family: Transfer RNA (tRNA) molecules are approximately 80 nucleotides in length. Their secondary structure includes four short double-helical elements and three loops (D, anti-codon, and T loops). Further hydrogen bonds mediate the characteristic L-shaped molecular structure. tRNAs have two regions of fundamental functional importance: the anti-codon, which is responsible for specific mRNA codon recognition, and the 3' end, to which the tRNAs corresponding amino acid is attached (by aminoacyl-tRNA synthetases). tRNAs cope with the degeneracy of the genetic code in two manners: having more than one tRNA (with a specific anti-codon) for a particular amino acid; and 'wobble' base-pairing, i.e. permitting non-standard base-pairing at the 3rd anti-codon position.
Source: RNAcentral